This 559-nucleotide long non-coding RNA is filed under the name Gossypium barbadense (sea-island cotton). Its description in RNAcentral is "long non-coding RNA (GBAR_LNC000225)". Lineage: Eukaryota; Viridiplantae; Streptophyta; Magnoliopsida; Malvales; Malvaceae. The record is from RNAcentral.
AUUUCGUUCUUCUUGAUCUAUAAUAGAAAAUUUAACUUAUUUAAUAUUCACAUUUAUUAAAACAGUCCUUGACCCAAACUUUUGCAAAAUUAUAUUUUUACCCCUAAACUUUCACAUAUUUUCACUUUUGCCCCAAGGCUCGUAAAUUAAACUUCAUCCUAUUUUCUUAUGUUUUAUAACAUGCUGAUCAUUUUUCUUUUCUAUGGCAAUAUCAAAAUCACACUCUAACAUAUACUUAUGACUAUUGGUAUUUUUUUUCCAAUUUAAGCCCUUUUACUCGUUUUCACUUAAAACCGAGUAGCAUAAGUUGUUUAACAUAAUUUAAAACCUCAUAUUCUAUCAUAAAACACCAAAAUACACAAAUUUCAGCCAUGGGUAUUUUUCCAAAUAUGAACCCUAGGCUGAAUUAUUGCUAGAAUAAGCUUAAUCAAGUUACCGGGACUCCAAAAACGUAAAGAUCAUUAAAAACGGGGCUUGGAAUCACUUACUAUGAAGCUUGAAAGUUGAAGAAACCCCAGCUAUGGAGGAGAGCAAAAAUCGGCAGAAACUAAUUGAGAAG